This 216-nucleotide unclassified non-coding RNA is filed under the name Hevea brasiliensis (rubber tree). Lineage: Eukaryota; Viridiplantae; Streptophyta; Magnoliopsida; Malpighiales; Euphorbiaceae. The record is from RNAcentral.
AUAAGGGGAUGGUGGCACGUAAUCUGAAACAUAGUCAUGGUAUGCUCCUCUACGGUAGAAAUUAGUACCCAUGAUAAUAGUCGCCAAAUCUACUUCAUCUUCCCCAAUAAAAGAAAAUGACCGCAGUCAGAAAACAAACGAUUCUCACAGUUUGGCAGCAAAUGUUGGAGUCUUUGACCUUCCUCUUGACUUGGUAGCAACUGAUCCUUUCCGCUG